Molecule: unclassified non-coding RNA, 215 nt
Filed under: Hevea brasiliensis (rubber tree)
Lineage: Eukaryota; Viridiplantae; Streptophyta; Magnoliopsida; Malpighiales; Euphorbiaceae
Source: RNAcentral
GCUGAUGAGUACAUUGAUAGUGAACAAGAGGAAUCUUUAGCUGGGGAAACAGCUUCUCCUGAAGUUUCAUGUUAUCCUAUGAAAAACAUUGCUGAGGAUGUGCAGAAGAGUGUUGUAGAACCAUUUCAUGGCAUUAAUGAUGGUAACUUGGUUUUCCAGGAUUAUAAUGUGUCUCAAGCUCCAUUUUCUAUGAAAACCAAAUGCCUAGCUGAUUU